UACGGGGGGUGCAAGCGUUGUUCGGAAUUACUGGGCGUAAAGGGUGCGUAGGCGGUGCUCUAAGUCGGAUGUGAAAACUCUGGGCUCAACCCAGAGCCUGCAUCCGAAACUGGAGUGCUAGAGUUCUGGAGGGGGUAGCGGAAUUCCUGGUGUAGCGGUGAAAUGCGUAGAUAUCAGGAAGAACACCCGUGGCUAAGGCGGUUCUCUAGUACGGUACUGACGCUGAGACGCGAAAGCGUGGGGAGCGAACAGG
Molecule: ribosomal RNA, 253 nt
Filed under: uncultured bacterium
Lineage: Bacteria
Description: partial 16S ribosomal RNA
Rfam family: Bacterial small subunit ribosomal RNA
Source: RNAcentral